CCUACGGGUGGCAGCAGUGGGGAAUAUUGGGCAAUGGGCGCAAGCCUGACCCAGCAACGCCGCGUGAAGGAAGAAGGCUUUCGGGUUGUAAACUUCUUUUAUCAGGGACGAAGCAAGUGACGGUACCUGAUGAAUAAGCCACGGCUAACUACGUGCCAGCAGCCGCGGUAAUACGUAGGUGGCAAGCGUUAUCCGGAUUUACUGGGUGUAAAGGGCGUGUAGGCGGGAGUGCAAGUCAGAUGUGAAAACUAUGGGCUCAACCCAUAGCCUGCAUUUGAAACUGUACUUCUUGAGUGCUGGAGAGGCAAUCGGAAUUCCGUGUGUAGCGGUGAAAUGCGUAGAUAUACGGAGGAACACCAGUGGCGAAGGCAUCUCACGAAUCCGCGAUUGACGCUGAUGCACGAAAGCGUGGGUAUCAAACAGGAUUAGAUACCCUGGUAGUC
RNAcentral lists this ribosomal RNA (443 nucleotides) under uncultured bacterium. Its description in RNAcentral is "partial 16S ribosomal RNA". It matches the Rfam family "Bacterial small subunit ribosomal RNA", at positions 338 to 795 of the family's 1533-position model. The record is from RNAcentral.